UUCAAAUAAUGAAUACCUUGUAAGUUUACAAUAGUUUAAAUUGUUUCUGUUUUACUAAAAAAUGCUAACAAUAACAAAAUAUUCAGCACAGAUCAGCUUACAAAAAAAGGAGAAUUUGGUAGAAUAAUAUUCUGCAGGUCACACCAUUUGUACUUUACAAUUUCAAAAGAGAGUAAGACCAGGAAGAAAAAUAAACUAUUCAAAAAAACUUUCAAUAAACAACCUUUUAGUUUAACUUCGUUUGAAGGCAUUUAAACAGGCGGAGAAAAGUUUGUUGUGUUUUAAUGUAACAAAUAUGUCUGAGAUUUCAAGAGAUUCGAGUUAUGAAAAAGUUGAAGCUGUAGAGGAAACAAAUGAGUAUGAGCGGCAUCCGGAUUAUGUAGAUCUAUCAGAUUCUACUUAUGAUAGGAUACCGGAU
This is a long non-coding RNA of Magallana angulata, 418 nucleotides long. RefSeq lists it as uncharacterized. NCBI's taxonomy places the organism in Eukaryota, Metazoa, Mollusca, Bivalvia, Ostreida, Ostreidae. The transcript has 3 exons. The record is from RefSeq and is a predicted model, not a curated record.